This 509-nucleotide ribosomal RNA is filed under the name Abisara echerius. RNAcentral describes it as "partial 16S ribosomal RNA". Lineage: Eukaryota; Metazoa; Arthropoda; Insecta; Lepidoptera; Riodinidae. The record is from RNAcentral.
UUUUUGAUAAUAAUUUAAAGUNUAAUNUGCCCACUGAUAAUUAUUAAAGGGCUGCAGUAUUUUGACUGUACAAAGGUAGCAUAAUCAAUAGUCUUUUAAUUGAAGACUAGUAUGAAAGAUUGAAUGAAAUAUAAACUGUCUUUUUAAUAAAAUUAAAAAUUAAUUUUUUAGUCAAAAAGCUAAAAUGAAUUUAAAAGACGAGAAGACCCUAUAGAGUUUUAUAAUUAAAUUUAUUUUUUUAAAAUAUAAAUAAUUUAAAAAAAAAUAUAUUUAAUUAUUUUGUUGGGGUGAUAAAAAAAUUAAAUAAACUUUUUUUAAAAUUUAACAAAAAUAAUUGAAUAAGUGAUCCAUUAAUUAUGAUUAAAAGAAUAAAUUACCUUAGGGAUAACAGCGUAAUAUUUUUUUUUAGUACAAAUAAAAAAAAAAGUUUGCGACCUCGAUGUUGGAUUAAGAUAAAAAUUAAAUGCAAAAGUUUAAAAUUUUGAUCUGUUCGAUCAUUAAAAUCUUAC